This 208-nucleotide long non-coding RNA is filed under the name Elaeis guineensis (African oil palm). Its description in RNAcentral is "long non-coding RNA (EGUI_LNC063260)". Lineage: Eukaryota; Viridiplantae; Streptophyta; Magnoliopsida; Arecales; Arecaceae. The record is from RNAcentral.
GCUGGAGUCCGAUUGCUAGAGAAGUCCGUCUGAAAUUUGUCUGAUGUAGAAGCUUGUCUGAAGACUGUCUGCUGGAGAGGUCCGGUUGCAUGAGAAAUCCGACAGAAGGUCGACCGAUAGCGAAAUUCGAAAGGCGCUAUAGAAGGUUGUCCGAUAGAAGAGUCCGGAAGGCGUUGUGGAAGUUCGUCCGCUGGAGGAGUCUAGAGGA